Molecule: ribosomal RNA, 468 nt
Filed under: uncultured bacterium
Lineage: Bacteria
Description: partial 16S ribosomal RNA
Rfam family: Bacterial small subunit ribosomal RNA
Source: RNAcentral
GACGAACGCUGGCGGCGUGCUUAACACAUGCAAGUCGAACGGAAAGGCCCUGCUUUUGUGGGGUGCUCGAGUGGCGAACGGGUGAGUAACACGUGAGUAACCUGCCCUUGACUUUGGGAUAACUUCAGGAAACUGGGGCUAAUACCGGAUAGGAACUCCUGCUGCAUGGUGGGGGUUGGAAAGUUUCGGCGGUUGGGGAUGGACUCGCGGCUUAUCAGCUUGUUGGUGGGGUAGUGGCUUACCAAGGCUUUGACGGGUAGCCGGCCUGGGAGGGUGACCGGCCACAAUGGGACUGAGAUACGGCCCAGCCUACUACGGGAGGAAGCAGUGGGGAAUAUUGUACAAUGGGCGGAAGCCUGAUGAAGCAGCGCCGCGUGCGGGAUGACGGACUUCGGGUUGUAAACCGCUUUCGCCUGUGACGAAGAGUGAGUGACGGUAAUGGGUAAAGAAGCACCGGCUAACUACGUG